UCUGACGACCAUAGCGAAGUGGUCCCACGCCUUCCCAUCCCGAACAGGACCGUGAAACGCUUCAGCGCCGAUGAUAGUGCGGAUUGCCCGUGUGAAAGUAGGUCAUCGUCAGACUCUUAUUCGAAGGGAUAUUCGGCAGCGCCGGAUACCCGGUAGGGCGUAGUCCCUACUUCAGCGAAGGCUAACCUGCAUGGCAGGUUAUGCCGCAGCUAAAGUAGGUCAUCGUCAGACUCCUACAACAAAAGCCCCCCAGGAAAUCCCUGGGGGGCUUUUUAUUUGU
Molecule: ribosomal RNA, 280 nt
Filed under: Sulfuritortus calidifontis
Lineage: Bacteria; Pseudomonadati; Pseudomonadota; Betaproteobacteria; Nitrosomonadales; Thiobacillaceae
Source: RNAcentral